UGUAGGUUCACUGCUUUAAUCUCUCUCAGUCUAUGGUCUGCAGUGCCGACUGCUCUGCUUGACUCACCAGAUCACUGAAGGUAACGUGGAUGUCAUGGGAAUUUUUUGGCAGAAUGGAGAUUUAUAUAUUCAGUCAGUCUCAAGUUUCAGAAGAUGAAAAAAAAACCUAAUUCUCAGAAUAAUUUGGCAAGUUUUUCUCUCUCAACUCAAAUAAUAAAGGGCAAGUUUCAUUUCCAGAUAAGUACUGAUGAACAAAACAGAAAGAAUCACAAUGAAUGAGGAAAUGUCAAAAUAUCCCAAGAGGCUACUAAGGUAUUAUUAUUAGAAUGCCUACUCUGAGCCCUGGUCAUCUAUAUUUUCACUUUUUAAUCGGUUAGCUUUUCUAUAGAUUGUUAGGUAAUUAUGUCUAAUGUGUGUCUAUGAGUGCUUAUUACAUCAAUAUUAAAGUAGAUUUGACACUUGUCCUCUUCUCCCCAUUAGUAUGCAAGCACCUUGAAGGUAGGAACUGUGUCUCCUAUUUUCCUUCAAAGUUACUGUGGACUUAAUUAAUUUAAGUCAUGAUUAUUAUUCACUAUGGAUUUCCCCAAAAUUUAAACAAGUGAAUAUUUUAAUUUACUUUAAAUAUUUAUCACUCAAAAUGAAUAAUUUAUCUCAUGAGCACAAAAUAGUACUGAAAGCAUAAUUUUUUUCUUUUAAAGUUAAGUUUAAGAAACUGUUCAGUGGAACUGCCCAUUUGAUAUAACAAAGAAAAAUGUAUUUUAAAGCAGAGGUCACUCCAUAAAGUUUUUAGAAAUGGUUAAAAAAAACAAACCUACCAAAUAUGUUACUACUUGAAUGAUGUGAAUGAACUGUGGUAAACGCCAGCAUGCAAUAUGGCAAAAACGAAUCAAUCAGUUCAGCUUAGUUCAGCCUCUGCAACUGGCCAUCUGGCACAAAAUCAACCGAAUGUAUCCCUGCAUAUUCAUCUUCAUUUCCACAAAUACUCAAGAGAAUGUCAUUCUAGGGCAAAAUAAAAUUAAAUCACCAUAAUUUUUAAGACAUCUUUCCUUUCAUACCCUCUUGAGAAUACAGUGUUUAUAUGGGAAUACUUAUUGCUAUAGGGUUGUUGUAUAAUUCUUACUUGAAUGUAUUCUCUUUUCUAAAGAUUGAAAAAAGUAUAUUUAAUUACCAGAG
Phyllostomus discolor (pale spear-nosed bat) is the source of this 1173-nucleotide long non-coding RNA. RefSeq lists it as uncharacterized. The record is from RefSeq and is a predicted model, not a curated record. The transcript has 2 exons. Lineage: Eukaryota; Metazoa; Chordata; Mammalia; Chiroptera; Phyllostomidae.